RNAcentral lists this ribosomal RNA (270 nucleotides) under uncultured archaeon. Its description in RNAcentral is "partial 16S ribosomal RNA". It matches the Rfam family "Archaeal small subunit ribosomal RNA", at positions 478 to 747 of the family's 1478-position model. The record is from RNAcentral.
AGCUCCUCGAGUGGUGAGGACGAUUACUGGGCCUAAAGCGUUCGUAGCCGGCUUGGUGAGUCCUUCGUGAAAUCCGUCGACUUAAUCGUCGGGCGUGCGAAGGAGACCGCCAAGCUAGGGGGCGGGAGAAGUCGACGGUAUUCCCGGGGUAGGGGUGAAAUCCUAUAAUCCCGGGAGGACCACCAGUGGCGAAGGCGGUCGACUAGAACGUGCCCGACGGUGAUGGACGAAAGCUGGGGGAGCGAACCGGAUUAGAUACCCGAGUAGUCC